This 724-nucleotide ribosomal RNA is filed under the name uncultured Acidobacteriota bacterium. RNAcentral's name for it is "bacterial SSU rRNA". It matches the Rfam family "Bacterial small subunit ribosomal RNA", at positions 67 to 790 of the family's 1533-position model. Lineage: Bacteria; Pseudomonadati; Acidobacteriota. The record is from RNAcentral.
CGAGGCGGGGUAGCAAUACCCCAGUCGAGCGGCGAACGGGUGAGUAACGCGUGGGUAACCUACCUCGAGGUGGGGGAUAACCCGGGGAAACUCGGGCUAAUACCGCAUGACAUCCAAGGAUCAAAGGGGGCCGCAAGGCUCUCGCCUGGAGAGGGACCCGCGUCCGAUUAGCUAGUUGGUGAGGUAACGGCUCACCAAGGCGACGAUCGGUAGCCGGCCUGAGAGGGCGAUCGGCCACACUGGAACUGAGACACGGUCCAGACUCCUACGGGAGGCAGCAGUGGGGAAUUUUGCGCAAUGGGCGAAAGCCUGACGCAGCAACGCCGCGUGGAGGAUGAAGGUCUUCGGAUUGUAAACUCCUGUCAGCAGGGAAAAAGCGACUUGACCUAAUACGUCAGGGAGUUGAUUGUACCUGCAGAGGAAGCCCCGGCUAACUCUGUGCCAGCAGCCGCGGUAAUACAGAGGGGGCAAGCGUUAUUCGGAAUUAUUGGGCGUAAAGGGCGCGUAGGCGGCUUCGCAAGUGGAAGGUGAAAUCCCUCGGCUCAACCGAGGAACUGCCUUCCAAACUGCGUGGCUUGAGUCCGGGAGAGGUGAGUGGAAUUCCCAGUGUAGCGGUGAAAUGCGUAGAUAUUGGGAGGAACACCAGUGGCGAAGGCGGCUCACUGGACCGGAACUGACGCUGAGGCGCGAAAGCGUGGGGAGCAAACGGGAUUAGAUACCCCGG